AGGUAUGCUUAGGGAAGAGCUUGCGUCACAUUAGUUAGUUGGUGGGGUAAUGGCCUACCAAGACGAUGAUGUGUAGCCGGGCUGAGAGGUCGAACGGCCACAUUGGGACUGAGACACGGCCCAAACUCCUACGGGAGGCAGCAGUAAGGAAUUUUCGGCAAUGGAGGAAACUCUGACCGAGCAAUGCCGCGUGAACGAUGAAGUAUUUCGGUACGUAAAGUUCUUUUAUUAGGGAAGAAAAGAUGGUGGAAAAACCAUUAUGACGGUACCUAAUGAAUAAGCCCCGGCUAACUAUGUGCCAGCAGCCGCGGUAAUACAUAGGGGGCAAGCGUUAUCCGGAAUUAUUGGGCGUAAAGGGUGCGUAGGCGGUUAAAUAAGUUUAUGGUCUAAGUGCAACGCUCAACGUUGUGAUGCUAUAAAAACUGUUUAGCUAGAGUUGGAUAGAGGCAAGUGGAAUUCCGUGUGUAGUGGUAAAAUGCGUAAAUAUACGGAGGAACACCAGAAGCGAAAGCGGCUUGCUGGGUCUUAACUGACGCUGAGGCACGAAAGCGUGGGGAGCAAACAGGAUUAGAUACCCUGGUAGUCCACGCCCUAAACGAUGAGUACUAAACGUUGGAUAAAACCAGUGUUGAAGUUAACACAUUAAGUACUCCGCCUGAGUAGUACGUACGCAAGUAUGAAACUUAAAGGAAUUGACGGGACUCCGCACAAGCGGUGGAUCAUGUUGUUUAAUUCGAAGGUACCCGAAAAACCUCACCAGGUCUUGACAUGCUUUUGCAAAGCUGUAGAAAUACAGUGGGAGGUUAUCAGAAGCACAGGUGGUGCAUGGGUUGUCGUCAGCCUCGUGUCGUUGAGAUGUUGGGGUUAAGUCCCCGCAACGCAGCGCAACCCCUU
This 894-nucleotide ribosomal RNA is filed under the name uncultured bacterium. Its description in RNAcentral is "bacterial SSU rRNA". It matches the Rfam family "Bacterial small subunit ribosomal RNA", at positions 211 to 1107 of the family's 1533-position model. The record is from RNAcentral.